GACGAACGCUGGCGGCGUGCUUAACACAUGCAAGUCGAACGCUGAAGCUUGGUGCUUGCACUGGGUGGAUGAGUGGCGAACGGGUGAGUAAUACGUGAGUAACCUGCCCUUGACUCUGGGAUAAGCCUGGGAAACUGGGUCUAAUACUGGAUACGACAUGUCACCGCAUGGUGGUGUGUGGAAAGGGUUUUACUGGUUUUGGAUGGGCUCACGGCCUAUCAGCUUGUUGGUGGGGUAAUGGCUCACCAAGGCGACGACGGGUAGCCGGCCUGAGAGGGUGACCGGCCACACUGGGACUGAGACACGGCCCAGACUCCUACGGGAGGCAGCAGUGGGGAAUAUUGCACAAUGGGCGGAAGCCUGAUGCAGCGACGCCGCGUGAGGGAUGACGGCCUUCGGGUUGUAAACCUCUUUCAGCACGGAAGAAGCGAAAGUGACGAUACGUGCAGAAGAAGCGCCGGCUAACUACGUG
Molecule: ribosomal RNA, 472 nt
Filed under: uncultured bacterium
Lineage: Bacteria
Description: partial 16S ribosomal RNA
Rfam family: Bacterial small subunit ribosomal RNA
Source: RNAcentral